AGCGAACGCUGGCGGCAGGCUUAACACAUGCAAGUCGAGCGGGCAUCCUUGUGGUGUCAGCGGCAGACGGGUGAGUAACGCGUGGGAACGUGCUCUUCGGUUCGGAAUAACUCUGGGAAACUUGAGCUAAUACCGGAUACGUGCGAGAGCAGAAAGGUUUAUCUGCCGAAGGAUCGGCCCGCGUCUGAUUGGUUAGUUGGUGAGGGUAUGGCUCUCCAAGGCGACGUUCAGUAGCUGAUCUGCGAGGAUGAUCAGCCACACUGGGACUGAGGCACGGCCCCGACUCCGACGGGAGGCAGCAGUGGGGAAUAUUGGACGAGGGAGGCAACCCUGGUCCAGCCAUGCCGGGUGAGUGAGGACGGCCUUAGUGUUGUGAAGCUCUUUUCGCCGGGACGAUAGUGACGGUACCGGGGGAAUAAGCCCCGGCUAACUUCGUG
RNAcentral lists this ribosomal RNA (437 nucleotides) under uncultured bacterium. RNAcentral's name for it is "partial 16S ribosomal RNA". It matches the Rfam family "Bacterial small subunit ribosomal RNA", at positions 28 to 507 of the family's 1533-position model. The record is from RNAcentral.